UGGCAAAUGUGAGAUGCAGUGUAUGGAGCGUCAAUAUUCUAGUAUGAGAAAUUAACGAUUUAAGUCCUUCUUAAAUGAGGCCAUUUACCCAUAGAGGGUGCCAGGCCCGUAUAACGUUAAUGAUUACUAGAUGAUGUUUCCAAAGAGUCGUGUUGCUUGAUAGUGCAGCACUAAGUGGGUGGUAAACUCCAUCUAAAACUAAAUAUAACCAUGAGACCGAUAGUAAACAAGUACCGUGAGGGAAAGUUGAAAAGAACUCUGAAUAGAGAGUUAAACAGUACGUGAAACUGCUUAGAGGUUAAGCCCGAUGAACCUGAAUAUCCGUUAUGGAAAAUUCAUCAUUAGAAUUGUAAUAUUUAAUAAAUAUUAUGAUAAUAGUGUGCAUUUUUUCCAUAUAAGGACAUUGUAAUCUAUUAGCAUAACAUUAUUUAUCAUAAAAUAUGGCUUAUAGUUUAUUCAAAUUAUUAUGCUUGCAUUUUAACAUAGAAUAAAUGUCAUUAAUUUGAUAAAGUGCUGAUAGAUUUAUAUGACUACAGUGCGUUAAUUUUUCGGAAUUAUAUAAUGGCAUGAUUAUCAUUGAUUUUUGUGUUUAUUAUAUGCACUUGUACGAUUAACAAUGCGAAAGAUUCAGGAUACCUUCGGGACCCGUCU
RNAcentral lists this ribosomal RNA (651 nucleotides) under Drosophila ohnishii. RNAcentral describes it as "eukaryotic LSU rRNA". It matches the Rfam family "Eukaryotic large subunit ribosomal RNA", at positions 130 to 654 of the family's 3401-position model. The record is from RNAcentral. Lineage: Eukaryota; Metazoa; Arthropoda; Insecta; Diptera; Drosophilidae.